GACGAACGCUGGCGGCGUGCUUAACACAUGCAAGUCGAACGGAAAGGCCCUGCUUUUGUGGGGUGCUCGAGUGGCGAACGGGUGAGUAACACGUGAGUAACCUGCCCUUGACUUUGGGAUAACUUCAGGAAACUGGGGCUAAUACCGGAUAGGAGCUCCUGCUGCAUGGUGGGGGUUGGAAAGUUUCGGCGGUUGGGGAUGGACUCGCGGCUUAUCAGCUUGUUGGUGGGGUAGUGGCUUACCAAGGCUUUGACGGGUAGCCGGCCUGAGAGGGUGACCGGCCAAAUGGGGAUUGAGAUACGCCCCAGCCUCUGCCGGGAGGCAGCAGGGGGGAAUAUUGCACAAUGGGCGGAAGCCUGAUGCAGCAACGCCGCGUGCGGGAUGACGGCCUUCGGGUUGUAAACCGCUUUCGCCUGUGACGAAGCGUGAGUGACGGUAAUGGGUAAAGAAGCACCGGCUAACUACGUG
RNAcentral lists this ribosomal RNA (468 nucleotides) under uncultured bacterium. RNAcentral's name for it is "partial 16S ribosomal RNA". It matches the Rfam family "Bacterial small subunit ribosomal RNA", at positions 28 to 507 of the family's 1533-position model. The record is from RNAcentral.